Molecule: RNase P RNA, 300 nt
Filed under: uncultured archaeon
Lineage: Archaea
Description: bacterial RNase P
Rfam family: Archaeal RNase P
About the family: Ribonuclease P (RNase P) is a ubiquitous endoribonuclease, found in archaea, bacteria and eukarya as well as chloroplasts and mitochondria. Its best characterised activity is the generation of mature 5'-ends of tRNAs by cleaving the 5'-leader elements of precursor-tRNAs. Cellular RNase Ps are ribonucleoproteins.
Source: RNAcentral
AAAAGCCCGAGGGCAACUAACGCUUGCAAAAGUGAGGAAAGUCCCCCCUCCUCGGCAGAAUUCAGCCUGUGCAAGCAGGUGUUCUGAGAGGGAUGGUCAAGGGAAAAGAAAUAAACGGAUUCCGGUGAAGAGUGACUCGAAGAGAAGACGUUUCCGGAAGUGCCGAUGGGAACCCUUCCUGGAUGGAGAAAGUCUAAACGGGCCCUGUGAAUCUGCCGUGAGGGCCGGGUAAGACGAAUAGUCGAAUGUUGCCAACCCUUGUUGGGUGAACAGAAGGGGGCUUACUCCGGGCAUUUCCAA